This is a long non-coding RNA of Gallus gallus (chicken), 3422 nucleotides long. The record is from Ensembl. NCBI's taxonomy places the organism in Eukaryota, Metazoa, Chordata, Aves, Galliformes, Phasianidae.
UUAGAUUGCACAAGUAUUUUUUUAUUACAGCACUUUUUCCCCAAGACGUGACUCAUACAAUUGUAUGCACACUACAGCAAUGCCUACAUGUUGACAAACAAAACAUGAAUACACUGAUCCCAUACAAUUCCAAGACACCAUUUACAAGCGCAGCACCCACGUACUCCAUACAAUUCCAAGACACCGUUUACAGGCGCAGCACCCGCGUACUCCGUACAAUUCCAAGACACUGUUUACAGGCGCAGCACCCGCGUACUCCAUACAAUUCCAAGACACCGUUUACAGGCGCAGCACCCGCGUACUCCAUACAUUUUAAGACAUGGUUUACACAUAACACAUAUGUCAGACUCACAAGACAAAGGUCACAAAGCCUCCACAUCCCAUAAAUGACCUUACAUUUACACUAACAUUGUGUACUGCAACCCACCUCAACAGCAGAGCAGGUCUCAGCCCACCUGAAGUAAAUGCAAGCCUCAGACUGGCCGGGAAGGAGUGCAAAUGGGCUCUGAUGGCCUUGGGCAUUGGUUACGGGGUUGGGUUAGCCCUGCGGUACAAACAAACAAAGCAAAGCUAACCCAACCCCGUAAGCAAGGCAAAGCUAAAGCCAAUUUGGCUGACAUCAAUUGAUUGCAAAGCUAAAGCCAAUUUGGCUGAGAUCAAUUGACUGCAAAGCUAUAGCCAAUUUGGUUGAGAUCAAUUGAUUGCAAAGCUAAAGCCAAUUUGGGCAAGAUAAAUUGACUGCACCUGCCAAAAUCAGCGCAACUCACAGAAUGGCCGCAAAGGGGCGCGAGUCUCAGACUGGCCGGGAAGGAGCGCAAAUGGGCUCCGAUGGCCUCGGGCAUUGGUUACGGGGUUGGGUUAGCCCUGCGGUACAAACAAACAAAGCAAAGCUAACCCAACCCCGUAAGCAAGGCAAAGUUAAAGCCAAUUUGGCUGACAUCAAUUGAUUGCAAAGCUAAAGCCAAUUUGGCUGAGAUCAAUUGACUGCAAAGCUAUAGCCAAUUUGGUUGAGAUCAAUUGAUUGCAAUGCUAAAGCCAAUUUGGGCAAGAUAAAUUGACUGCACCUGCCAAAAUCAGCGCAACUCACAGAAUGGCCGCAAAGGGGCGCGAGUCUCAGACUGGCCGGGAAGGAGCGCAAAUGGGCUCCAAUGGCCUCGGGCAUUGGUUACGGGGUUGGGUUAGCCCUGCGGUACAAACAAACAAAGCAAAGCUAACCCAACCCCGUAAGCAAGGCAAAGCUAAAGCCAAUUUGGCUGACAUCAAUUGAUUGCAAAGCUAAAGCCAAUUUGGCUGAGAUCAAUUGAUUGCAAAGCUAAAGCCAAUUUGGGCAAGAUCAAUUGAUUGCAAAGCUAAAGCCAAUUUGGGCAAGAUAAAUUGACUGCACCUGCCAAAAUCAAUGCAACUCACAGAAUGGCCGCAAAGGGGCGCGAGUCUCAGACUGGCCGGGAAGGAGCGCAAAUGGGCUCCGAUGGCCUCGGGCAUUGGUUACGGGCAAGGCAAAGCUAAAGCCAACUUAUUUGCAAUGCAUUAACUGCAAAGCUAAAGCCAAUUUGGUUGAGAUAAAUUAUUUGUAAAGCUAAAGCCAAUUGGUUUGAUGCAAAAUAACUGCACACGCUGAAAUUGGUGUGACUCUCAGCAUGGCCGUGAGUCUCAAACAGCCUGGAUGGAGUGUGAAUGGUCUCUGUCCAGCUACAGGAUGUCAGUUACGGGAUUAGGGUCAGCCACGCUAGCAAACUCAAAGCGAAGGUGACCCAAACCCUUUGAUGUGCUAUCCCUUGAAAUUCUCUGAAAGAUUGCAGCCGGCUGCUUGGACGGGUACAUUGCUUGCUAGAUGAAGAACUAGCUGAACCUCCUGGCCUCAUGAGUGCUGCUCGAUCGUGUUAAAUGCAGCUGGUAUGCCAUCCUGAGUGCUCUGCAGGCCUGUUCUGUCCAAUAUCGUCAUUGAUGACCUGCCUGACGGCAUGGAGUGCACCCUUGGUAAGUUUGCUGAGGGCGUUGCAUCAGAUUAGCACUAUGUUUGGAGUUCAGAGCUCAUUAGGGUUGGGGUGAAGGUAUUAGGGUUAGGUUUAUUAGGGUUAUCCUCAAAGUGACUGUUAGGGAAGGCCAAGGCAAAGGCAACAACACCCAAGGGAACACCAAAACUGAGGGCAAAGGCAUAGACAACAACCAAGGGAAGGCAACGUCAAAGGCAAAGGGAAAGCAAAGGUAUGGAGAACACCUCCUCAGAGGGCAGGCCCAAAGAGAGGGCCUCAGAGAACAAAACAGACCAAAGAGAACACCGUGGCAAGGCCAAAAUGGAGGGCGAGGUCCAUGAGAACGCUGCAGGGAAAGCCGAUGCAGGAGGCCAAGGGCAAUGGCCAAAGAGAAUGCAGCACAGAAGGCCAAAACCAAAGGCCAAAGAGAAUGCUGUAGGGAAUGCCAAAACAAGAAGGCCAAAGGCAAAGGCCAAACAGAACGCAACAGGGAAUGCCAAAACCAAAGGCCAAAGAGAUCGUCACAGAGAAUGCCACAACAGGAGGCUGAAAGGAGCACGGCAAAGAAGGCCAAGGGCAAAGGUCAAAGAGAACAUGGAAGGGAACGCCAAAGAGAAUGUGGCAAAGGUGGCCAAGCGCAAUGGCCAGGAGAAUGUGGCAUGGAUGGCGAAAACAUAAGGCCAAAUAGAACACUGCAUGGAACACCAGAAGUGAUGGCCAAAGAGAACGAUGCAGGGAAUGCCAAAACCGGAGGCCAAAGAGAAUGCCACAAAGAAGGCCAAGGGCAAUGGCCAAGAGAACAUGACAUGGAAUGCAAAAACACGAGGGCAAGAGAAUGCAGUAGGGAAUGCCAAGGGCAAAGGGAAGGAGAACACCGCAGUGAAAGGCCAGAGCCAAGGAGAACGUGCAAAGAAUAGGACAGGCAGCCUUCGGGGCACCCUGAAGUGCAGAAAGGAGCUCUGGGAACCCUACCUUGUGUCUCACUCAGUAAGGGGUAAACACUGGUGGGUGUGCAUUGUCCUUACCUGCUGGGCAGACAAUUACCAGUCAGCAAAGUGGGGUUCCAGGGCAUCCCAGGAAAUGCAGCUUUCGGUUCCUUGCUGUUCCCGUGAAGACCCGCACAUCUCUCCGUGCAGUCGUUACAGAACCCGGGAGUGCUGCAGCUCUCUGCUGCCACCUGUUAAACACAAUGCAGUAAUGAAGGCGCCGCCCCGCAUAUGUAGGGCUGCACCCUGUGUGCAUUGCUCUAUAGGAUGACACAAGGGAGUAUUGCGAAUAUAAUGAAUGCUAUGCAUAGGUUUGAAGUUACAAUUAGCUUAACAAUUGUUUUCCACACUAUGAUUAGGAUUAAGGGUACUGUGACAGAAAACAAGCGGCAUUAUUUUUAUUGCAGCAUUUAGGUUAAGAGACGUUUUUAAUAUUAGCUUAAUAGUUAGGUUUACAUAUACA